GUGUGUGAGGGUGGAAAAAGGAGAUGUUGAUAUAUAUAUAUAUAUCAGGUCAGCCUUAGCUCGGAGCAAUAAGGAAAAUUUAGCUUAGAAUUUCUUUACUUUUUAAGACUGUCUCUUUACUGAGAAUGUAUCUCUACAUUUGUAGUUUUUGCCAGGUCUUUAAAUCUAAAUAAUGGUCAGAUAUGACAUCUGGGAGCAUCGAGAAUAACUUCAAUAAGCCUGCAGCCACAAAGCUUUAAAGCUGUAAAGAGCGAGGUGGACAGAGAUGAUGCUCAGGAUACACAUUGGCCUUGGACUGAGGUGGACAUGUUGAGACGUGGGGUUGGAUGCAGGAAAGGGCGAUAGACGAUGCUGAGGCGAACGGUGCACUCACUGUCAAGGAGAAGCAGACCUUGACCUCUGCCACAUGACCUGCAAAACAAAAGUCCUCCUUAUCCACAGCAUCAGGAGGUGUCUGCUGGGGGGAUGUGGAACGGGGUCACUCUGAGUUGAUGUUAAAAAUCUAUCUCAUCAUCUUUCACAGUGAUUCUGUAUUGAAUUUUGGGCACAGUAAACACAGACUGAGCUCUGAAGCAAACUCAACUUCCCACAUACAGUAUAUGUCACUGAGGAUAUAUACAUAAGGGCUGAAUCACAGGAAAAGCUACAUCUGGAAACUACUUUUAAACUGAUGCCAUUUUGACUACCUCAUGCGGAACAGGAAGAAAAUCCAAGCUAGUAAAUGACUGCAGUGAUUAUUAGAUGUUUUAGGUGGGGAUUUUGAUAUAUCAUAGGGUAGCACAGCACCAAGGGUUAUAAAGUUUAAUGUGCACCAUUGCAGCAUCCUGUGUAAAUUACUGUAUAAUUAAAGUAAAGUGUGAAUUAACCUCUGCAAUGUGCCCAGUGGGACUACUGAUGACUGGCAUCAUAUUGCAUAGUCAUCCAAGCCUGGCAGCCACAGAGCUUGUUACCACGGUGAGAGGUGUAUUUAAAAAUCUUGAAAGAGCAUUAAUAAGUGAGGAAGAGCACUUGUGUAAUCCGUGGCACUUUCCUGUGAUUAUGAGGAUAUUCAGAACAUUGGACAGCAAUUUGACAAUGUGAAAGUUGUCGCUCAUGGUGAUACAGAUUAUUUUUUACCCGAACCUCUCCUUGGCUUUACGAGCAUUUAAACAAGAUUUUAGGCUUUUAUGACAGACAUGCUACAAAAUAUAUAUUAUUUUUUUCUAUGCAUUCAUACACAUACAACUGCAUAAAAUCCAAAUAAUAAAAAAAUUAAAAUGUGUCAAGAGAGGUGAAGAAGCUACAGGCUUAUACAACGGACUUAAGGAGAAGAAAAAGGAGAAGAAGAAGAGAACUAUGCUAACAUUAUAAAAACAACAAAAGAUAAUGACAACAAGAAGAACAAAGAAUGAGCAGAAAAUCAAUCAGUAAAAACAUUCCAAAGCAAAACAAAGAAAAACUGAGAAAAAGAAGAAGAGAAAUUAAAUGAUCAUCAAUGUGAUGAGAAUUUCCUUUAAAAAAUGUUUAGGAAUAACAAGCUUUUGAUUAAGCUGUCCAGUCUGUAUCUUUACUGUUCUGGUUCACUCUGAGCACUCUCGUAGCGUUGGGCCGCAGAAGGAAGCUGUUUUUAGAGAAAGAGCUCUACCUACUACCUCGCUGGUGAACAUAGUGGAGCAAUUAACAUCAACAUAUUUCCCUCAGGAGUUUGUAGAGACCAAAACCAGAGCUGAAAGAGAGUGAAUAUUGGACAUUCACCAGGUGGCCACAAACAUGAAUCCAAAUAAAUGAUCAUGUUGUCUCUGUAACUGCUGGAUGUGGGAAUUAGCAACCGUUUCCCAGUGGGGGAGAGCCAACCCCAUAUUCCUCUGGGAUCCGUGCUUGCGAUCUGGCACUUGGUAGCUACGUUUUUUUUAGAGGUUGACGCCCAGAAACAUCCUGAACAGAGCGAAAUUAAAACAAGAGAAAUUAAAAGCAGAGCGCUUGGUCUGCAGAUACAGACAUUGCCACAAACUUCUAGUGGGUUAUAAGUUAUUAUUGAGAGGGAUAGUUUUAUGAGUCUGAACAUUGUUUUUUAGGAAAGUUGUACUCAUUGUGCCUUUAAGGUGAUGAUAUGUCAGUAUUGUGUUCACAACUUGUUUCCGCUGCCCCCAAGUGGCCAAAAGAAUCAGUUAUUGCAGCUUCUUGGCUUCUUUUUGCACCAAAGAUUUAGCACUCUUUAAUAUGUGUCAUGCUGGAAGGAAUGGAUUAAGUUACUAACGGUGAUCACAUUAAUAACUUGGCUGAUGUAACACCAGGAGGCAUUAUUUAUGGGACAUAUGCCUCUUGGAUACUCAAAGGAUGGGUGAAUUUAAUAUAUCCUAUCUCUCUUUCAUCACUUAGAUUUAUGGCAGCUCUGGUUUUUAUGUGGUGUUACUUUCCUGAUUAAUGAGACAGGUAAAUUUGAACUAGACUUCAAAACAGAUUGUUAUGAGGAAUGGUUAAGAAGAUUUAAAUUGAGAUAGGGAGAUCAGAAGAGUGUCUAUCUGAUCUGUUGGCUCAUCUGUUCUAUCAAAGACAGACACUGUUAACAUAUAAUACCAUGUGGCUGGUAUUUUAAGUGGAAGCCCAGAUCAUGCCAGGUGUUUUACAGCUGGGCAUUGCACGCUUAAGUGAGUCACUAUACAAACCAUCUGGCAUGUUGUCCAGGUGGUCAUGGAAGCACGUCCUAUUAAGUUAGACCAGGCCCUUGAAGGUUUAACAUACACAUAUGGAAAUCAACUGGCUGAAAAUAAUUAGUUUCAACACAUCCACUCUGUGCAUCUGUCCAUCUUUGUACAUCAUGCAUAUUUGUUCCCUGUCCCAAGUGCACCUCAGCUGUGCAUAUUUGACAUGCAUAUGUUCAUUCUGUGUAUCAUAAAUCAUUUUAAUUGAAGCUAUCUAGCAGAAUAUUGGGAGCAGGACCACACCUGAA
Long non-coding RNA from Cottoperca gobio, 2929 nucleotides. RefSeq lists it as uncharacterized. Lineage: Eukaryota; Metazoa; Chordata; Actinopteri; Perciformes; Bovichtidae. The transcript has 4 exons. The record is from RefSeq and is a predicted model, not a curated record.